AACGAACGCUGGCGGCGUGCCUAACACAUGCAAGUCGAGCGAGAAAAGGGGAGCAAUCCCCUGAGUACAGCGGCGCACGGGGUGAGUAACACGUAGGUGAUCUCCCUCGAGCCCGGAAUAACCUACCGAAAGGUGGGCUAAUACCGGAUAUGACCACGGAAGUUUUCGGCUUCUGCGGUGAAAGAUGGCCUCUACCUGUAAGCUAUCACUCGAAGGAUGAGCCUGCGUGCCAUUAGCUAGUUGGUGAGGUAACGGCUCACCAAGGCUAUGAUGGCUAGCUGGUCUGAGAGGAU
RNAcentral lists this ribosomal RNA (293 nucleotides) under uncultured bacterium. RNAcentral's name for it is "partial 16S ribosomal RNA". It matches the Rfam family "Bacterial small subunit ribosomal RNA", at positions 29 to 301 of the family's 1533-position model. The record is from RNAcentral.